GAUGAACGCUGGCGGCGUGCCUAAUACAUGCAAGUCGAGCGAACAGACGAGGAGCUUGCUCCUCUGACGUUAGCGGCGGACGGGUGAGUAACACGUGGAUAACCUACCUAUAAGACUGGGAUAACUUCGGGAAACCGGAGCUAAUACCGGAUAAUAUAUUGAACCGCAUGGUUCAAUAGUGAAAGACGGUUUUGCUGUCACUUAUAGAUGGAUCCGCGCCGCAUUAGCUAGUUGGUAAGGUAACGGCUUACCAAGGCAACGAUGCGUGGCCGACCUGAGAGGGUGAUCGGCCACACUGGAACUGAGACACGGUCCAGACUCCUACGGGAGGCAGCAGUAGGGAAUCUUCCGCAAUGGGCGAAAGCCUGACGGAGCAACGCCGCGUGAGUGAUGAAGGUCUUCGGAUCGUAAAACUCUGUUAUUAGGGAAGAACAAAUGUGUAAGUAACUAUGCACGUCUUGACGGUACCGAAUCAGAAAGCCACGGCUAACUACGU
RNAcentral lists this ribosomal RNA (496 nucleotides) under uncultured bacterium. RNAcentral's name for it is "partial 16S ribosomal RNA". It matches the Rfam family "Bacterial small subunit ribosomal RNA", at positions 28 to 506 of the family's 1533-position model. The record is from RNAcentral.